AUUGAACGCUGGCGGCAGGCCUAACACAUGCAAGUCGAGCGGAUGAAGGGAGCUUGCUCCUGGAUUCAGCGGCGGACGGGUGAGUAAUGCCUAGGAAUCUGCCUGGUAGUGGGGGAUAACGUCCGGAAACGGGCGCUAAUACCGCAUACGUCCUGAGGGAGAAAGUGGGGGAUCUUCGGACCUCACGCUAUCAGAUGAGCCUAGGUCGGAUUAGCUAGUUGGUGGGGUAAAGGCCUACCAAGGCGACGAUCCGUAACUGGUCUGAGAGGAUGAUCAGUCACCACUGCAACCGCAAACCGCCCAGACUACUGGAGGGGCAAUCUACUGAGAAUUGUGGACUAGGGGCGAAUGCCUGAUCCAGCCAUGCCGCGUGUGAAGAGGGUCUUCGGAUUUUAAAGCACUUUGUGGUUGGAGAAAGGUCAGUAAGUUAAUACCGUGCUGUUUAGACGUUACCAAAAGAAUAAGCACCGGCUAAGUUCGUG
RNAcentral lists this ribosomal RNA (482 nucleotides) under uncultured bacterium. RNAcentral's name for it is "partial 16S ribosomal RNA". It matches the Rfam family "Bacterial small subunit ribosomal RNA", at positions 30 to 507 of the family's 1533-position model. The record is from RNAcentral.